RNAcentral lists this ribosomal RNA (810 nucleotides) under uncultured cyanobacterium. RNAcentral's name for it is "bacterial SSU rRNA". It matches the Rfam family "Bacterial small subunit ribosomal RNA", at positions 32 to 888 of the family's 1533-position model. The record is from RNAcentral. Lineage: Bacteria; Bacillati; Cyanobacteriota.
GACGCUGGCGGCGUGCUUAACACAUGCAAGUCGAACGAACCUUCGGGUUAGUGGCGGACGGGUGAGUAACGCGUGGGAAUCUGCCCUCAGGAGGGGGAUAACGGUUGGAAACGACCGCUAAUACCCCAUAUGCCGAGAGGUGAAAUGAAUUUCGCCUGAGGAUGAGCCCGCGUCUGAUUAGCUUGUUGGUGAGGUAAUGGCUCACCAAGGCUUCGAUCAGUAGCUGGUCUGAGAGGAUGAUCAGCCACACUGGGACUGAGACACGGCCCAGACUCCUACGGGAGGCAGCAGUGGGGAAUUUUCCGCAAUGGGCGAAAGCCUGACGGAGCAACGCCGCGUGAGGGACGAAGGCCUCUGGGCUGUAAACCUCUUUUCUCAAGGAAGAAGAUAUGACGGUACUUGAGGAAUAAGCCACGGCUAAUUCCGUGCCAGCAGCCGCGGUAAUACGGGAGUGGCAAGCGUUAUCCGGAAUUAUUGGGCGUAAAGCGUCCGCAGGCGGCCUUUCAAGUCUGCUGUUAAAACGUGGAGCUUAACUCCAUCAUGGCAGUGGAAACUGAUUGGCUUGAGUAUGGUAGGGGCAGAGGGAAUUCCCGGUGUAGCGGUGAAAUGCGUAGAUAUCGGGAAGAACACCAGUGGCGAAGGCGCUCUGCUGGGCCAUUACUGACGCUCAUGGACGAAAGCCAGGGGAGCGAAAGGGAUUAGAUACCCCUGUAGUCCUGGCCGUAAACGAUGAACACUAGGUGUCGGGGGAAUCGACCCCUUCGGUGUCGUAGCUAACGCGUUAAGUGUUCCGCCUGGGGAGUACGCACG